Molecule: ribosomal RNA, 447 nt
Filed under: uncultured bacterium
Lineage: Bacteria
Description: partial 16S ribosomal RNA
Rfam family: Bacterial small subunit ribosomal RNA
Source: RNAcentral
AGCGAACGCUGGCGGCAGGCUUAACACAUGCAAGUCGAACGCCCCGCAAGGGGCGUGGCAGACGGGUGAGUAACACGUGGGAACGUACCCUUUGGUUCGGAAUAACUUGGGGAAACCCAAGCUAAUACCGGAUAAGCCCUUACGGGGAAAGGUUUACUGCCGAAGGCACGGCCCCCGUCUGGUUAGCUAGUUGGUGAGGUAAUGGCGCACCAAGCCGACGAUCAGUAGCCGGUCUGGGAGGAUGACCAGCCCCACUGGGACGGAGACACGGCCCAAUGGCCUACGGGGGGCAGCAGUGGGGAAUAUUGGACGAUGGGGGCAACCCUGAUCCAGCCAUGCCGCGGGAGAGAUGAAGGCCUUAGGGUUGUAAAGCUCUUUUUCCCGGGACGAUAAUGACUGUACCGGGAGAAUAAGCCCCGGCUAACUUCGUGCCAGCAGCCGCCGUAA